Molecule: long non-coding RNA, 1360 nt
Filed under: Homo sapiens (human)
Lineage: Eukaryota; Metazoa; Chordata; Mammalia; Primates; Hominidae
Description: long intergenic non-protein coding RNA 486
Source: RNAcentral
UCCACGUUGGCUGGUUUGAAACUGUGGUGUAUGUUUAAGCUCAGGCUGGAAAAGGAUCACUGAAAGUCACUUGGAUGGUGUCUCGUGUGUCUGUGAUGAGCUUGCUGUUGCUUUCUUUCUCCUUGACAGAUGAGAAAACAGUGGCUUCAAAGGUUAAACAACUUGUCUUCGAUUGCACAGCUAACAAGAGCUCACUGUCCAAAGGGAGUCUCUCUCCCCGGUCCACAUGCUGAGGCUUGCUCCAGAGUGAAUGUGUGCACUGGAAAGAACCCACACAGGCCCCCUGAGAGCUGUCAGCCUUGCCAGGCUUCUGUGAGAUCCCUGGGUCCGAGUAGCCAAGCUGGGAGGAGCACCAUUUGCCCACUGACUCUUGGGCAACGCUGCAGCCUGCAUCCCAGCCGGCAGAAGGCAGGUGGUAUCACAGCUGAGUUUACAGCCACGGAAGGAACCACUGUAGGCUUUUAGUAGAUAAUAUGUUUUCUCUGCUUCAAAUCCUUAUUUUGGUUGCUUAAAAUUUCUGCAGAAAACAAACAGCUUCUGCCAAAAUUGGCUCACAAAAUUAGCUUACUAGUAUAAUCAGUUGUAUAGCAAGUAUUUACUGAGUAGCUCUUGGAAGGCAGUCAACACAAGAGGGAUGGAUCAUUCUUCCAGUUCAUCACACGUGGGUUGGACAUGCUAACAGUCCCCGAUAGCUAUCAGGCGAGUAAAUGGAUGAUCACACAAAGGCAGAGGCAUCGCAGAAGGAUGCUAACUAGAUGUCAUGCGUCAAGGAUACUACAGAAGGAUCUCUUUGCUGACAAGGAGGGUACCUCUAAGGUUCCUUCAGAUGGGAUGGUUCUCUGUUCACCGUGAUCACUACUAUGCAAAGGCCUGUGGGCCAUUUAGGAGAAAAGCAUUCAGUCCAAUUCCACAGACACAGUGAGGAUGUAAUAUGCCCUAGGCAUAUAUGAGUGGAUCCAAGGAGGAAAUACUCAGUCACUACUGUCAAGAACUCAUGACCUGCUGCAGGGUUUGCCAAACUAUGGCUUGUGGGCCAAUCUGGCUCACCACCUAUUUUAGUAAAUAAUGUUUUACUGGAAUCCAGACACGCUUGUUUGAUUACAUAUUGUCUAUGGCUGCUGAGCACCCACUAUAAGGGCAAAGUUAAGUAGAUAGAGACUUUAUCACCCACAAAACCUAAAAUAUUUGACUGGAUGGCCCUCUACAGAAAAAGCCUGCGAACCUGUGGUCUUGUGGGAGGACACUGCUGGGCACAGUUAACUCUAAUUCUUGGCUGUAGCAUCUUGAAUAGGGUGGCAGUCCCUGGCUGCUGAGGGGGACAGCUGGACGGCUGCCUCCCAGGGGCAUUUCCAUGACUUGC